GACGAACGCUGGCGGCGUGCUUAACACAUGCAAGUCGAACGGAAAGGCCCUGCUUUUGUGGGGUGCUCGAGUGGCGAACGGGUGAGUAACACGUGAGUAACCUGCCCUUGACUUUGGGAUAACUUCAGGAAACUGGGGCUAAUACCGGAUAGGAGCUCCUGCUGCAUGGUGGGGGUUGGAAAGUUUCGGCGGUUGGGGAUGGACUCGCGGCUUAUCAGCUUGUUGGUGGGGUAGUGGCUUACCCAGGCUUUGACGGGUAGCCGGCCUGAGAGGGUGACCGGCCACAUUGGGACUGAGAUACGGCCCAGACUCCUACGGGAGGCAGCAGUGGGGAAUAUUGCACAAUGGGCGGAAGCCUGAUGCAGCGACGCCGCGUGCGGGAUGACGGCCUUCGGGUUGUAAACCGCUUUCGCCUGUGACGAAGCGUGAGUGACGGUAAUGGGUAAAGAAGCACCGGCUAACUACGUGCCAGCAGCCGCGGUGAUACGUAGGGUGCGAGCGUUGUCCGGAUUUAUUGGGCGUAAAGGGCUCGUAGGUGGUUGAUCGCGUCGGAAGUGUAAUCUUGGGGCUUAACCCUGAGCGUGCUUUCGAUACGGGUUGACUUGAGGAAGGUAGGGGAGAAUGGAAUUCCUGGUGGAGCGGUGGAAUGCGCAGAUAUCAGGAGGAACACCAGUGGCGAAGGCGGUUCUCUGGGCCUUUCCUGACGCUGAGGAGCGAAAGCGUGGGGAGCGAACAGGCUUAGAUACCCUGGUAGUCCACGCUGUAAACGGUGGGUACUAGGUGUGGGGUCCAUUCCACGGGUUCCGUGCCGUAGCUAACGCUUUAAGUACCCCGCCUGGGGAGUACGGCCGCAAGGCUAAAACUCAAAGGAAUUGACGGGGCCCCGCACAAGCGGCGGAGCAUGCGGAUUAAUUCGAUGCAACGCGUAGAACCUUACCUGGGUUUGACAUGGAUCGGGAGUGCUCAGAGAUGGGUGUGCCUCUUUUGGGGUCGGUUCACAGGUGGUGCAUGCCUGUCGUCAGCUCGUGUCGUGAGAUGUUGGGUUAAGUCCCGCAACGAGCGCAACCCUUGUUCACUGUUGCCAGCACGUUAUGGUGGGGACUCAGUGGAGACCGCCGGGGUCAACUCGGAGGAAGGUGGGGAUGACGUCAAGUCAUCAUGCCCCUUAUGUCCAGGGCUUCACGCAUGCUACAAUGGCUGGUACAGAGAGUGGCGAGCCUGUGAGGGUGAGCGAAUCUCGGAAAGCCGGUCUCAGUUCGGAUUGGGGUCUGCAACUCGACCUCAUGAAGUCGGAGUCGCUAGUAAUCGCAGAUCAGCAACGCUGCGGUGAAUACGUUCCCGGG
RNAcentral lists this ribosomal RNA (1343 nucleotides) under uncultured bacterium. Its description in RNAcentral is "16S ribosomal RNA". It matches the Rfam family "Bacterial small subunit ribosomal RNA", at positions 28 to 1378 of the family's 1533-position model. The record is from RNAcentral.